GGGCAGGUGUCUGAGUGGUCGAAAGAGCACGAUUGGAAAUCGUGUGUACGUCAAAAGCGUACCGAGGGUUCGAAUCCCUCCCUGUCCGUCA
RNAcentral lists this transfer RNA (91 nucleotides) under Akkermansiaceae bacterium. RNAcentral describes it as "tRNA-Ser". It matches the Rfam family "tRNA". Rfam says of the family: Transfer RNA (tRNA) molecules are approximately 80 nucleotides in length. Lineage: Bacteria; Pseudomonadati; Verrucomicrobiota; Verrucomicrobiia; Verrucomicrobiales; Akkermansiaceae. The record is from RNAcentral.